RNAcentral lists this ribosomal RNA (232 nucleotides) under uncultured bacterium. RNAcentral's name for it is "partial 16S ribosomal RNA". It matches the Rfam family "Bacterial small subunit ribosomal RNA", at positions 15 to 238 of the family's 1533-position model. The record is from RNAcentral.
GAUCAUGGCUCAGGACGAACGCUGGCGGCGUGCCUAAUACAUGCAAGUAGAACGCUGAAGGAGGAGCUUGCUCUUUCCGGAUGAGUUGCGAACGGGUGAGUAACGCGUAGGUAACCUGCCUGGUAGCGGGGGAUAACUAUUGGAAACGAUAGCUAAUACCGCAUAACAGUAGAUAUCGCAUGAUAUUUGCUUGAAAGGUGCAAUUGCACCACUACCAGAUGGACCUGCGUUG